Molecule: long non-coding RNA, 208 nt
Filed under: Elaeis guineensis (African oil palm)
Lineage: Eukaryota; Viridiplantae; Streptophyta; Magnoliopsida; Arecales; Arecaceae
Description: long non-coding RNA (EGUI_LNC053089)
Source: RNAcentral
AUCUGACAUUCGAUCAUAGAUCUAAAUCAGAACUUAAAGCAAGAAUCAGCAUACAAAAGAUUGUGAUAAACCAUUUAUCACCUUGUGCAGGGAGAAGAACACCGCAAUCUGAAACUGUAGAUCUGAGGAGGUUCACUGUUGAGCCAUGCAUGUACUCAGCCUCUACAGAUAUCCACUAGGAUCAAUCUUGAAUCAUUCUUCUUAUGGU